GAGACCGACAGAUGAAACUGACAGGUGUUGGGCCUUGAGGCUGUGAACGGCACGUUGCAGGUAGGGAUGGGUGAUGAGGCUGGACUUCAUCGAUACAGAGACAAUGGUUUAAAUAACCAAAGAAUUCCUUUAUUGAGAGAGAUUCUUUUACAUAAACUGCUCUGGCGACAAGAAUAAAUACCUUUUCCUAUCUGUCCUUGUCCAAAGAGAUCACCUCUGGAUUUUCUUGAAUGACAGUGCUGGCGAAACACACGACAGUCUUUAGUUCUGAUUUGUCAGUCUUUAGUCCACACCAAUACAACACUGGAACACCUUCACACGAAAAGAAAUAAUUUUUUGGCUUAUGAUGAUCUCGGAGUUAUCAAUAUCCUCAGCUGUGUUGUCACCAGUCAACUUGGAGCACAUAACAGAAAUCGUCUCAAUUUUGGUCGCUGGCGAUCGGUCUCUUACCUUUCAUAAGAACAAACUGUUCUCCUCACUUUUCUUGAACCUUUUGUGCUCCUCUCUUUUCUCACCUCUAUAUAUAAUUUUUUUGCAUCCACUGUAGCAGAUAAGAAAUUUCCUGUGGUUAGAGGGCAUAUUUACUUGAUUAAUUAGUGAGGGUCCUGCGCUGCUCUGACUUUGCUUUUCCUAAUUUCGUGUUGAUGUGAAACUUAGAUAAAUUUUUACUUCCUUCAACGGAAGCAAAUUUUACUUCAUUAAUAUCAAGGAAACAGAACUUUUUGACAUUAUAACAGUAAAAAACAACAAUCUUGGUCCAUUCAGACAAAGUUUGAGACCGACAUGGGGGUCAGAAAUGGGAUCAGAUCCCCACACCAGCAUUAUUUUUUUUAAAUAACUUUUCCUGAAAAAUAUGUUCUAAUGGCAAUAUGCUAAUACAGUACAUCAUUAAAUAUGUUUUUAUAAACUAAAUCCUCAAGGAUAAUAAUUUAAUUGAACCUAAUUCAUUUCAACCCAACCCUUAAAUCUUAUAAUUGAAAUUUUAAUAAUUUGAAAUAAAUUUUGAUUAAUGCUAGCACCAAUUCAGAAUUAAUAAACAAACCAAUAAUUAAAAGUGGUGCCAUCUAUAAAUUAAUAAUUGAAACAGAAUUCUUAACUAAUUUAUUUGAAGAAGAAAAUUGCCUUGACACAGGCAUGAAACUGGAAUCUUCAGACUAACUUCAUAAUUAUUUUAUGUAUUAUACAAAUAAAAUUGUGCAAUUGUACACAACAAUAACUUUUAAACUCUUUGCUUUACUUAU
Molecule: long non-coding RNA, 1241 nt
Filed under: Androctonus crassicauda
Lineage: Eukaryota; Metazoa; Arthropoda; Arachnida; Scorpiones; Buthidae
Source: RNAcentral